RNAcentral lists this ribosomal RNA (440 nucleotides) under uncultured bacterium. RNAcentral's name for it is "partial 16S ribosomal RNA". It matches the Rfam family "Bacterial small subunit ribosomal RNA", at positions 338 to 795 of the family's 1533-position model. The record is from RNAcentral.
CCUACGGGGGGCAGCAGUGGGGGAUAUUGCACAAUGGGGGGAACCCUGAUGCAGCGACGCCGCGUGUGGGAAGACGGUCCUCUGGAUUGUAAACCACUGUCCCCAGGGACGAAAAUGACGGUACCUGGGGAGGAAGCUCCGGCUAACUACGUGCCAGCAGCCGCGGGAAGACGUGGGGAGCGAGCGUUGUCCGGAAUUACUGGGUGUAAAGGGAGCGUAGGCGGGGAUGCAAGUUGGGUGUCAAAACUACCGGCUCAACUGGUCGUCGCACUCAAAACUGCAGCUCUUGAGUGAAGUAGAGGCAGGCGGAAUUCCUAGUGUAGCGGUGAAAUGCGUAGAUAUUAGGAGGAACACCAGUGGCGAAGGCGGCCUGCUGGGCUUUUACUGACGCUGAGGCUCGAAAGUGUGGGGAGCAAACAGGAUUAGAUACCCUUGUAGUC